ACGUAGGUGGCAAGCGUUGUCCGGAAUAACUGGGCGUAAAGCGCAUGUAGACGGCAUGAUAAGCCAAAUGUGAAAUGUAGGGGCUCAACCCCUGCACUGCGAUUGGAACUGUCAAGCUUGAGUGCAGGAGAGGCAAAUGGAAUUCCCAGUGUAGCAGUGAAAUGCGUAGAGAUUGGGAGGAACACCAGUGGCGAAGGCGAUUUGCUGGACUGCAACUGACGUUGAGAUGCGAAAGCCAGGGGAGCAAACGG
This 251-nucleotide ribosomal RNA is filed under the name uncultured prokaryote. RNAcentral's name for it is "partial 16S ribosomal RNA". It matches the Rfam family "Bacterial small subunit ribosomal RNA", at positions 525 to 775 of the family's 1533-position model. The record is from RNAcentral.